RNAcentral lists this long non-coding RNA (363 nucleotides) under Ananas comosus (pineapple). RNAcentral's name for it is "long non-coding RNA (ACOM_LNC023946)". The record is from RNAcentral. Lineage: Eukaryota; Viridiplantae; Streptophyta; Magnoliopsida; Poales; Bromeliaceae.
AAAAAAAAGAAAAAUCGAUUAUCAUUUCCCUUUCUCCCCUCACUCAAUCGACUGAAAUCCUAGACAAAGAUCCCUUUCUCUCGUCCUCCUUCGCCACCGCAGCCAACGAGGUAGAGUUCCGGCGGUUGCUAAAUGCUUAAAUAAAUAUUGGUAAAUUAGCAGUACUUUUUUAGGUUAUAGCGACACUCUUUAACUGUUAUUAUAAACCUAGCGACACCACAUAUAGCAACAUUUUUUAAAAAUAUCGGUAAUUUAGCGAGCAACACUUUUUUUGAGCUGUACUGACUUUUAAAAGUGUCGCUAUAGACCGUUUUUACUGUAGUGAGUAUUAAAAACUCUCAGUGAUCAACUAAUAAAUAGUCA